This 433-nucleotide ribosomal RNA is filed under the name uncultured bacterium. RNAcentral's name for it is "partial 16S ribosomal RNA". It matches the Rfam family "Bacterial small subunit ribosomal RNA", at positions 29 to 507 of the family's 1533-position model. The record is from RNAcentral.
AACGAACGCUGGCGGCAUGCCUAACACAUGCAAGUCGAACGAGACCUUCGGGUCUAGUGGCGCACGGGUGCGUAACGCGUGGGAACCUGCCCUUAGGUUCGGAAUAACUCCCCGAAAGGGGUGCUAAUACCGGAUAAUGUCUUCGGACCAAAGAUUUAUCGCCUUUGGAUGGGCCCGCGUUGGAUUAGCUAGUUGGUAGGGUAAAAGCCUACCAAGGCGACGAUCCAUAGCUGGUCUGUGAGGAUGAUCAGCCACACUGGGACUGAGACACGGACCAGACUCCUACGGGAGGCAGCAGUGGGGAAUAUUGGACAAUGGGCGAAAGCCUGAUCCAGCAAUGCCGCGUGAGUGAUGAAGGCCUUAGGGUUGUAAAGCUCUUUUACCCGGGAUGAUAAUGACAGUACCGGGAGAAUAAGCUCCGGCUAACUCCGUG